AUCCAGCUGAUGAGUCCUAGGUAGGACGAAACGCAUGUCCUGGAU
Non-coding RNA from Schistosoma curassoni, 45 nucleotides. NCBI's taxonomy places the organism in Eukaryota, Metazoa, Platyhelminthes, Trematoda, Strigeidida, Schistosomatidae. The record is from Rfam.